CUCUAUGCCAAGUAUAUGAGUGAGUGAUGU
RNAcentral lists this non-coding RNA (30 nucleotides) under Rattus norvegicus (Norway rat). Lineage: Eukaryota; Metazoa; Chordata; Mammalia; Rodentia; Muridae. The record is from RNAcentral.